This 230-nucleotide ribosomal RNA is filed under the name uncultured marine eukaryote. RNAcentral's name for it is "partial 18S ribosomal RNA". It matches the Rfam family "Eukaryotic small subunit ribosomal RNA", at positions 608 to 844 of the family's 1831-position model. The record is from RNAcentral.
AGUUGUUGCGGUUAAAAAGCUCGUAGUUGGAUUUCUGUUGAGGAAGUCCGGUCCGCACUUUGUGCGUGAUCUGGUUCUGCCUCGGCAUCCUCGUGGGGAACAUGCUGCGCUUGAUUGCGUGGUGUGGUAUUCACGACUUUUACUUUGAGGAAAUUAGAGUGUUCACGGCAGGCAAUCGCCUUGAAUACAUUAGCAUGGAAUAAUAAUAUAGGACCUUGGUUCUAUUUUGU